Non-coding RNA from Cavia porcellus (domestic guinea pig), 64 nucleotides. The record is from Rfam. NCBI's taxonomy places the organism in Eukaryota, Metazoa, Chordata, Mammalia, Rodentia, Caviidae.
GGGGAAUUAGCUCAGCGGCAUAAGCGCCUGCCUUGUAAGCAGGCAGUCGUGAGUUCAAUCCCUG